UUUUCCUGUCACUUUGUCAUCAAAUCUCUCUGGGUCUCUGUAGUUGUUCUUGUGGCUCUUGUUCCUUCCCUUUGAUCUUUGGAUUUUUCUGUUGGACUGUUUGGAUUCUGUGUUUUUAGACUUUUGAAGAAAGUUCUCAGAGUUUUGCUUUCUUUGUCUGCACUGCUGCUUCGUCUAACUCCUGCCUUCCUUCCAUUCCUCUCCUACUCUGGACCCGCACGCAGAAACGAACCUCAGGACUCCUCAUUGGAAGCAAGCUAAGACUCUCGAUUACAUUGUGAUCACCAGGAAUAAAUUAUUUACACCCUCAA
This is a long non-coding RNA of Notolabrus celidotus (New Zealand spotty), 311 nucleotides long. RefSeq lists it as uncharacterized. The transcript has 2 exons. The record is from RefSeq and is a predicted model, not a curated record. NCBI's taxonomy places the organism in Eukaryota, Metazoa, Chordata, Actinopteri, Labriformes, Labridae.